RNAcentral lists this ribosomal RNA (301 nucleotides) under uncultured bacterium. Its description in RNAcentral is "partial 16S ribosomal RNA". It matches the Rfam family "Bacterial small subunit ribosomal RNA", at positions 509 to 807 of the family's 1533-position model. The record is from RNAcentral.
CAGCCGCCACGGGAAUACGAAGGGGGCUAGCGUUGCUCGGAAUUACUGGGCGUAAAGGGAGCGUAGGCGGAUCGUUUAGUCAGGGGUGAAAUCCCGGGGCUCAACCUCGGAACUGCCUUUGAUACUGGCGAUCUUGAGUAUGGGAGAGGUGUGUGGAACUCCGAGUGUAGAGGUGAAAUUCGUAGAUAUUCGGAAGAACACCAGUGGCGAAGGCGACACACUGGCCCAUUACUGACGCUGAGGCUCGAAAGCGUGGGGAGCAAACAGGAUUAGAUACCCGAGUAGUCCCUGUCUCUUAUAC